UUUUUUUUAACCCAAGUACACUCAAACACUAUAUCACCUACCUAUCAGAUCCUCCCUUUGACUAUCAAGAUUCAAAGUAGGAGCGAAACAGUAUCAACAGUGAUAUCAUCACCUGACACAACCACCUAAAACUCUAAAUUGGACAAGGCAUUAUAAACUUCCAUUGUAUUUUACCUCAACUAACUCGUCUGUCCUCCCUUUAAGCAUUUCUGGAAAGAGGGUAGAUAAGAUCUAUCUUACAGCAAGAAAAACUGGGCAAAGAUUGCAAUUCCUCAGUUUUCAGAACAUUUAUGAAAAUAAGGAAUUAGUUUUGAAUAGUUUUAAUCACUGCUUAUGUCCUGAGUCACUGACUAACUAGUCUUUGUUUUGACUCGUGCGUUAUGUUUAAAUGUCAAACAGUUUUUGCUAUAAUACAACAACAUCAUGCAGUAUUCUGAUUAGGUCAACAGCAUGAUGUGCCCAAUGUGAAUACUCAGAAAUGGGUCACUGAAAAGACACCUGACAUCACAUGACCAAAGUACCGAUAACACCCUUACAUACUUUCUCAGGAGUCUCUAUUAUAGUCAGUUACACAGUCUUACCAGUUCAUUUAAAUUUAUAAUACUUGUACUUACAUCACCUCACUAUAAAUGAAUUGAAAUAAUCUUGCAUCUUCAGCAACUUGGACAAGUAAGCUCCUUGUGACAUUAUGUUUAUUUUUGUAUACUCUAACGUAGUGUCUCAGCACAUUGAGAAGAACACUCAAAGCACAAUACUUCUGCCAUAUACUCUGUUCCAUGCAACCAAAACCCUCUGUUUACCUGUGUGCAAAGGUACUUCAUGAAGAUUGAUAAAACAUUUACUUAUAUUCAGAAAAAUCAGACUUAGGCUACAGUCAAACAAUGAGUCAUUUUAGAUAAGUCAAAGAAUUAUCAUUUAUGUGAAUGCACAGUAUUUAAUACUUAUUCUAGUGUUAAUAGACGUAGUCAAAUCCUCAUAAUCCCUUGGGACCCUUUAAUGCAGUACUUUCACCCACACAGUCUUUCUCUGCUGUUCAUUCUAUUUCCUACAUGAUCAGAGACAUAUAACAAUGUAAUCUAAAUGCAUUUCCUUAGAGAAAGAGAAAGAAAACCAAGCAUAACAGAUAAAGAACAAUGUAGAGUGGAAAAAGAAACACUAUAACAAAAGAACAAAAGAAAAAAGCCCAUCUAAGUAGGCCACUCACAAUGUUAAAUUGGAUAAGUGAAUAAUUUUAGGAAGCGGUAUAAAUGUUAGCAUGUUUGUGUUACAAACUACUAAAAUGCUCCAGUUAGUGCUUCCUAGAAUAGCAAGAAAGUGGCACAUCUCUCCUCAUGAGAUCUCAGCACCACACUCUGAGCUACAUGAUAAACUAGGUUACACAGGUUUAUUGGAAAGUCUGCAUAUUGCCAUUGGGAAUAGAGCAUUUAAUAGACUUGGCUAAUAAAGAGUCUGUAAUACUGAAACAGGUCGUGUGAAUACACAAAUACCUCUCAGUGUAUUUCCACCUUCAGUAGGAUUGAAAGGAUAAAACUUCUCAGAUCCCACUUUCUCCUGAGUUCUCCCACCAACAGCUCUCCCCAUGUUAUUUCCAGGGGUGACCAAAUAAUUAUGAAGCAAUGAAAUGUAGAAGUCCUCUAGAAUAUUUUUGCAAUGCAUAAUAGUCAAUUAAAAAUAUAUUAAACAUACACUACAUUUAACUCCAGUGAGCAAAUCAAGGUAUCUCACACAAGCAGAGAGUGUCUCGAACAUAAGUAUUCAGAAAUUUUGUUGCUGAGAACAGUUAAAUACAUAUAUAUUUUUAGUGUUUAACAGCUAUAUUAAAAUCAAGCUGUUACAAAUGCAAUAAAUUCACUUAUUAAGAGCUCUAGGAUGAACAUCAGUUUAUGUGGAAAGCUAAGGCAAACCCAAACACUUUGUCUUCAGUGGCUCUGUAUCCACAGCUAUAAUUUCACAUUCCUCAAUUUGUUCCACCUUGAACAAAUAUGGUUUCAGUUGGUUCUCUCAGUGCUUGCUUCACAUUCCUUUACUGUGGUCAGACGGGCUGAUAUUCUCUUUAACAUCAUAUCUUGAACUACUCCUAAAGUCAGAUCAUUACAUGAAAGUUAAUUGGACCUUCAGAAUCUCUUAAGCCUUUCUCUAGUCAGUUGUGAUUAAUCUCUCUCUUUCCUAAUGUAACACAGACCCUAUCUUUUCCAUUUCCACUGAAAGAGAUGAAUUAUGUCACUUGUUAUAAGUCUAGCAAUUUUAUAAGCUGCUCACAUAAAGUAGAUAGAAAUGCAGUGUGAAUCUUCAGAAAUCUAAGCCCAGAUACUUAAGACUGAAUACAGUGAAAUUCCUUUGUUAUCUUGAUUUUUCCGGUUUUGGUCACUUGAUUUCUUUUUUCUUUUGACAGCUAGCCUUCAGUUGUUGGUUGUUUUUUUUCUUUAAUCAUUCAUUUUAUGAAAAAUUAUAGAACAAAAUGUAUCUGGGAUAUUUUCCUAAGAUAUUUUCAGGGUUGACUCUCCCCUCUAUCAGACGCUGUAAACUCUCUAAUAGUAGUGUUCCAAACCAUAAAAAAAUAUGCAAGCAAAUUUGUUCUUUUCUACCUUGUCCUUGCUACAUUAAUCUGAUGAGGCUAACAAGUUGUACAGAAUAAAAAUGUAGUUAAGUCAGAUUAACGUCACUGUUUGAAGCAACUGCAAGCCAAUCAAGACUAUUCAACAUUAAAUGCAUUUUAUAACCAUUAUGAUAAUCAGCCUAGUAAGAAAGUGAUCAUUUUCAAUUUCUUUCAGAUUGAAUGUCAGGAUAACUCUACUAUUAAGUUGAUUAACUCAGCUUCAUCUUCUUCCAAAUGGGCUGCUUUCAGUAGAAACAGAUAACUCCACGAAAUUGAAGUAUAACUUUAAAAAAUCAGAUAUAUAAGCACAAAACUUGGUUCUCUCAUUCAUUUUGCAGCACAGUGGCCACAGCAAUUUCCUGACAUGAUCUGAACUUCUCUGAUGUAAGUUAAACGAGUUCAGAGCAUGGAAACUGUGGAAAUUUAUU
RNAcentral lists this long non-coding RNA (3024 nucleotides) under Gallus gallus (chicken). RNAcentral's name for it is "lncRNA (ENSGALG00010017273.1)". Lineage: Eukaryota; Metazoa; Chordata; Aves; Galliformes; Phasianidae. The record is from RNAcentral.